GACGAACGCUGGCGGCGUGCUUAACACAUGCAAGUCGAACGGAAAGGCCCUGCUUUUGUGGGGUGCUCGAGUGGCGAACGGGUGAGUAACACGUGAGUAACCUGCCCUUGACUUUGGGAUAACUUCAGGAAACUGGGGCUAAUACCGGAUAGGAGCUCCUGCUGCAUGGUGGGGGUUGGAAAGUUUCGGCGGUUGGGGAUGGACUCGCUGGUUAUCAGCUUGUUGGUGGGGUAGUGGCUUACCAAGGCUUUGACGGGUAGCCGGCCUGAGAGGGUGACCGGCCACAUUGGGCCUGAGAUACGGCCCAGACUCCUACGGGAGGCAGCAGUGGGGAAUAUUGCACAAUGGGCGGAAGCCUGAUGCAGCAACGCCGCGUGCGGGAUGACGGCCUUCGGGUUGUAAACCGCUUUCGCCUGUGACGAAGCGUGAGUGACGGUAAUGGGUAAAGAAGCACCGGCUAACUACGUG
Molecule: ribosomal RNA, 468 nt
Filed under: uncultured bacterium
Lineage: Bacteria
Description: partial 16S ribosomal RNA
Rfam family: Bacterial small subunit ribosomal RNA
Source: RNAcentral